UGUGUUGACACGCUCUGCACCUUGCUCCUGCCCUCGCCUUUCACUCUUCUUAUCCCCCCGAUACCCCGAUCAUUCCUGACAGCUCCUGAGUGCCUGGAUUUCAUCAUCCAGCCCUGCAGGAUGCUCCCAUUUGUCCUGAGGAAGGCUGUCCCAGACGGAGAGGAGGAGAUGGAGGUGGAUACAGAGAUUGAUAGAGAGGAGGACAUGGAGAUGAAGGGAGAAGGCACUGGAGAGGAGGAGAUGGAGGUGGAGGUGGAGGUGGAAGAGGAGAUGGAAGUGGAUAUGGAAGAGUCCAUUGAGGACAUGGACAUUGAUUGAAAAGGACCAGUGGACAUCAUGGAGAGAGAUGCCACCCUUUUGUACAUAUGUUUUAGGCUUUGUUGUUGUCUUUAGGAUAUAGGUUUUAGGGCUUUUUGUCUUCUGAAAAUAUGUUUUCUUUCUUUUUUUUUUUUUUUUUUGAUAGGUUCUUCUCUAUAUAUGUUCUAUCGACUGUUGUUGUUGUUACACAUAUUCUUACAAUGUAAAUAUCUUCUGUAUUUUUGCUACUGUUCUUCUGUAAUAAACAAACUUUACUUUUCACACCCCAGUUCUCUUUGCAUUUGCUUCAGGCACAGGCAGCAUUUUGCAAAGUUGUGCUUUCCACUGGCUCCAGGUUGCCAGGGCUGGAGGUCCCUGGCACAGCCUCCCCAGGAGUGGGGGUCCCUGUGCACAGAGGG
This is a long non-coding RNA of Passer domesticus (house sparrow), 716 nucleotides long. RefSeq lists it as uncharacterized. NCBI's taxonomy places the organism in Eukaryota, Metazoa, Chordata, Aves, Passeriformes, Passeridae. The record is from RefSeq and is a predicted model, not a curated record. The transcript has 3 exons.